UACGGAGGGAGCUAGCGUUGUUCGGAAUUACUGGGCGUAAAGCGCGCGUAGGCGGCUUUGUAAGUUAGAGGUGAAAGCCCGGGGCUCAACCCCGGAACUGCCUUUAAAAACUGCAUCGCUUGAAUCCGGGAGAGGUGAGUGGAAUUCCGAGUGUAGAGGUGAAAUUCGUAGAUAUUCGGAAGAACACCAGUGGCGAAGGCGGCUCACUGGACCGGCAUUGACGCUGAGGUGCGAAAGCGUGGGGAGCAAACAGG
This 254-nucleotide ribosomal RNA is filed under the name uncultured bacterium. RNAcentral's name for it is "partial 16S ribosomal RNA". It matches the Rfam family "Bacterial small subunit ribosomal RNA", at positions 524 to 776 of the family's 1533-position model. The record is from RNAcentral.